This is a long non-coding RNA of Medicago truncatula (barrel medic), 340 nucleotides long. RefSeq lists it as uncharacterized. NCBI's taxonomy places the organism in Eukaryota, Viridiplantae, Streptophyta, Magnoliopsida, Fabales, Fabaceae. The record is from RefSeq and is a predicted model, not a curated record. The transcript is spliced from 3 exons.
GUGUGUGUUGUAAGAUACACCGUUUCAAGUUCUAGAAUCACCUUUUUGUUCUUUUUAAUCGCAUCCCAUUUUGCUCCAUUCACAUCGAAUCUUCAAUAGAUUGAAUGCUACUUUUCGAAGGAAACAACUACUUUUUCUUUGUUUUGUAUCCAUUUUUGUCUUGAAACAAAACGUGCAUCAUUUUUCCGAGAUGGCUUUGAAGUUGAUUUACAAGGCAUCUCCGUUAUGUUCUUAAAGCUCAAAUAUUUUUCCUUAAUUUUCACUGUUGCAAUUGCGUUUCUGUUCAAGAUCUCAAAUUUAGUUCCUGAAGUUGAAAUUACGUCACAUCUGUCUCUUUGAA